CCCCCACUAGUAAAGAAAAAAUUAGGAUGCCAGCAUCUCCAGCCAUCCAAAUCAUUAUUGAUCUAAAGAAAUCCUCAAAAGAAGCAAAAGGACAAAGACGUGAACCUUAACUUCCUUUUUUAGGAAGGCUGCCAGUUUCAGCUCACUGUACAACAGUUGUUUGACUACCCUACCAUCACCCAUUCUACUUCACAUCCUAUCCAGUGCAGCUGUGUUGAGGAAGGAGAAUCAAUUUUUAGACGGAGCCCCCUCUGCCCACACCAAGGGACAGGGAACUAUGUCCAACUGUCACCUGGGCACUUCUUUCCCAGCACCUGGUUCAGUGCUCUGCAAACAGAGUGACAUAUGAAAUGAAGCUUUUUAUACUGUUCAUUAACUGCAUAACCCUAAAAAAGUGGAAUUUAUGAACAUAUGCUUAAUCUGCAUUUUGACUCAAAAUCAUGGUAUGUAUAUUUGAUAGUUCCUCUUUUCUUGUGUGCAAAUUCAGUUUGAAACAAAUGUUCCAUUCCCCAGUACAGGAGACAGAAUGAGAACUUUCUUUAAUCACAGGUAUGCAAAUAUAACUUUUGUGAAG
Long non-coding RNA from Ornithorhynchus anatinus (platypus), 574 nucleotides. RefSeq lists it as uncharacterized. The transcript has 5 exons. NCBI's taxonomy places the organism in Eukaryota, Metazoa, Chordata, Mammalia, Monotremata, Ornithorhynchidae. The record is from RefSeq and is a predicted model, not a curated record.